This 484-nucleotide ribosomal RNA is filed under the name uncultured bacterium. Its description in RNAcentral is "partial 16S ribosomal RNA". It matches the Rfam family "Bacterial small subunit ribosomal RNA", at positions 28 to 523 of the family's 1533-position model. The record is from RNAcentral.
GAUGAACGCUGGCGGCGUGCUUAACACAUGCAAGUCGAACGGUGAAGCAGGAGCUUGCUCUUGUGGAUCAGUGGCGAACGGGUGAGUAACACGUGAGCAACCUGCCCCUGACUCUGGGAUAAGCGCUGGAAACGGCGUCUAAUACUGGAUAUGUGAUAUGACCGCAUGGUCUGCAUCUGGAAAGAAUUUCGGUUGGGGAUGGGCUCGCGGGCUAUCAGCUUGUUGGUGAGGUAAUGGCUCACCAAGGCGUCGACGGGUAGCCGGCCUGAGAGGGUGACCGGGCACACUGGGACUGAGACACGGACCAGACUCUUACGGGAGGCAGCAGUGGGGAAUAUUGCACAAUGGGCGGAAGCCUGAUGCAGCAACGCCGCGUGAGGGAUGACGGGCUUCGGAUUGUAAACCUCUUUUAGCAGGGAAGAAGCGAAAGUGACGGUACCUGCAGAAAAAGCACCGGCUAACUACGUGCCAGCAGCCGCGGUAA